GCGGAUGUGGCGGAAUUGGUAGACGCGCCAGACUUAGGAUCUGGUGAAAAAGUUCGUGAGAGUUCAAGUCUCUCCAUCUGCA
This 82-nucleotide transfer RNA is filed under the name Poterioochromonas malhamensis. RNAcentral describes it as "tRNA-Leu". It matches the Rfam family "tRNA". Rfam says of the family: Transfer RNA (tRNA) molecules are approximately 80 nucleotides in length. The record is from RNAcentral. Lineage: Eukaryota; Synurophyceae; Ochromonadales; Ochromonadaceae.